RNAcentral lists this ribosomal RNA (520 nucleotides) under uncultured Sordariales. RNAcentral describes it as "SSU rRNA". It matches the Rfam family "Eukaryotic small subunit ribosomal RNA", at positions 20 to 543 of the family's 1831-position model. The record is from RNAcentral. Lineage: Eukaryota; Fungi; Ascomycota; Sordariomycetes; Sordariales.
GUAGUCAUAUGCUUGUCUCAAAGAUUAAGCCAUGCAUGUCUAAGUAUAAGCAAUUGUACUGCGAAACUGCGAAUGGCUCAUUAAAUCAGUUAUCGUUUAUUUGAUAGUGCCUAUCCUACUUGGAUAACCGUGGUAAUUCUAGAGCUAAUACAUGCUAAAAAUCCCGACUUCGGAAGGGAUGCAUUUAUUGGAUACAGAACCAACGCCCUCCGGGGCUUUCUGGUGAAUCACAAUAACUUCGCGGAUCGCACGGCCUUGUGCCGGCGAUGGUUCAUUCAAAUUUCUGCCCUAUCAACUUUCGACGGCUGGGUCUUGGCCAGCCGUGGUGACAACGGGUAACGGAGGGUUAGGGCUCGACCCCGGAGAAGGAGCCUGAGAGACGGCUACUACAUCCAAGGAAGGCAGCAGGCGCGCAAAUUACCCAAUCCCGACUCGGGGAGGUAGUGACAAUAAAUACUGAUACAGGGCUCUUUUGGGUCUUGUAAUCGGAAUGAGUACAAUUUAAAUCCCUUAACGAGGA